Molecule: long non-coding RNA, 11957 nt
Filed under: Zostera marina
Lineage: Eukaryota; Viridiplantae; Streptophyta; Magnoliopsida; Alismatales; Zosteraceae
Description: long non-coding RNA (ZMAR_LNC002148)
Source: RNAcentral
GAAAGUAAUGAAUGAAGAAAUUCAUGCUUUAGAUCUUAACAAGACUUGGACUCUUGUUUGUCCUAAACCUAAUAUGAACAUUAUAGGAAGUAAAUGGGUUUUUUAAAUAAAAAGAAAGGUUGAUAGGACAAUUGAAAGAUAUAAGGCUUGGUUAGUGGCUAAGGGUUUCGAUCAAGAGGAAAGGGUAGACUAUGAUCUUACCUAUAGUCCAGUAAUUAGAGUAUCAACAGUAAGAACUAUAAUUGCUCUUGCUGUAAGCUUUAAAUGGCCUUUAAGACAACUAGAUGUAAGGAAUGCUUUUUUAAAUGGCUAUAUCACAGAGGUAGUAUACAUGAAACAACCUACAGGAUUUGUUAAUAAAAAUAAUCCUAAACAUGUGUGCUUGUUAAAUAAAGCACUAUAUGGACUAAAACAAGUUCCAAGAGUUUGGUACUCUAGAUUGCAAUUAUUCUUGAUUAAUCUAGGGUUCUGUAAUAGUAAAUCAGAUUCUUCCCUGUUUUGUUUGGCUAAUGAUGAGAUAAAAAUCUACAUACUAGUUUAUGUAGAUGAUAUAAUUAUAACUGGGGACAAUAAUGCUAAGAUAGAUGAGUACAUCUCAUUUAUUUCUCAGACCUUUGCCUGUAGAGAUCUGGGGAAUUUGCAUUUCUUUCUAGGGCUUGAGUGUAUCAGGAAGAAUGAUGGAAUAAUAAUGUUUCAAGGGAAAUAUAUCAAAGAUCUAUUAGAAAAAUUUGGAUUAAGUUCAUGCUCACCAUGUCCAACUCCUAUGAAAAUUUCACCUAAGCUUACAAAGAUUGAUGGUACAACUAUAGAAGAGGUAACUUUAUAUAGGAGCAUGGUAGGUUCAUUACAAUAUCUGGCUCUAACAAGGCCUGCUAUAGCUUUUUAAGUCAAUAAUGUGAGUCAAUUUUUGCAAAAUCCAUCAGAUAUGCAUAUGAUAGCAGUAAAAAGAAUUUUUAAAUAUUUACAAGGAAUUUUUAAAUAUUUUUAAACCACAUACCAGAACUCCACCUUCUCUAGAAGAAGAUGGACCUGAAUUCAAUGAUAACAUCACUUCUAAAAAUCCAAGCUCAAUCAACCUCAAGUGAUCCCACCACCAAGUCUAGAAGGCCAAGUAAAAGGCCGGGAUACCUAAAUGACUACUUCUGCUCUUUUGCAACAAGCAAAGGAAACUCAAAAGGAACUUCAUUUCUAAUGCAUGAUUACAUAACCUACAAAAAGCUAUCAUCUUCCUGUUGGAUCGAGAUCCGAGGCUAUAAGGGGGGAUAAUAGCCUCUUUUCAAUUUAUGCAAGUUAAUAGCGGAAUUACCUGCACACACUUAAGUACACAAAUAGUUGUAUAAUAAUAAUAGUAUAAUAUUCUUAGCAAUACAAUACUAUUAUAUAAUUUUAAAGAAUAUAAUAUUAUAUCUUAUAAUAUUAUAUAUUGGACUUGCCUUUUACUCUUGAAGUUUACUACAGUAUAUGAAUACGUAGUCAACUUUUCAGAUGGUGUUUUAUAAACAACUAUAGUAUAUGAAUACUAAGUUAUAUUAUAAACACAAGUUAUAUUAUAGAGUAAAUGACUAGAUAACUGGAUAUAUUGAUAAGCAAGUAAAUGACCAGAUAACUGGAUAUAUUGAUAAACAAGUAAAUGACCAGAUAACUGAAUAUAUAUAUGAUAAGUAAAUGCUUGAACAAAUAUAUGAAUAAAGAUUUAAAGCAAUGAAUAUAACCUCAGAUAGUUGACCAGAUAACUGGAUGAGGGAUCUGCGUAAAGUAGUCAACCUCUGUAUUUGACCAGAUAACUGGAAGAGGGAUCCUUUUCAAUUAAGUGUUGUUUAGUUGUUUUUAGAUGAAAGAUAAAAACUAGAGUUAACAAAGAACAACACAAGAGAUUUAUACUGGUUCACCCAAACAAGGGCUAGUCCAGUCCCGACCAACUGCCGGAAUUCACUCGCCUAAAGGUUAUGGCAAAACCAUAGAGUAUCAAGGAAACUCUUAAGAACCUUUCUAAGCUUUAAGGCUACUUCGCUUAGGAACCAGUCUUUUACGGGUAGACUCACACCUUAGAGUAUCAAUGACACUCUUAAGAAUCUCUAACUUUUGCGGGUAAGUUAGUACCUUAAAGUAUCAAGGAACUCUUAAAAACCUCUCUAAGCUUUAAGGCUACUUCGCUUAGGAACCAGUCUUUUACGGGUAGACUCACACCUUAGAGUAUCAAGGGCACUCUUAAGAACCUCUAACUUUUACGGGUAAGUUAGUACCUUAGAGUAUCAAGGAACUCUUAAAAACCUCUGAAAUCUUUCAAGGUAGACUCGACCUAAGAGUUUUCCCAGAAACUCUAUAAAACCAAACUAGAGCUUUAUGGUUGAGCUCAAAAACCUUCUCUCACACUUUGGUACUAUUGACACAACCCUCUCAACCAAAGUGGACACACACAAGAGAAGAUUAGAGGAGUGGAAUAUUAAAGCAAACAACACUUCUUACUUGUAAAGAUGAACAAGAAGAUUAGAAGAAGAAGUUGGAGAGCUUUUGAAGCUUUGGAAAGCUAUGACACUUGAGCACUUGAAAGCUUGGAAGCUUGGAGGCAAAAACGUGUGGGCAAGUGUGGAGUGAAAGAUCUUGAGUUUGCUUGUAGUGUUGUGAGUGAAAAUGAGGGGAUUAUCCUUCUAUUUAUAGCCUUGGCCACUCAAUGUCCACCCUUGGAUCUUCAAUGGAUGGCUCUUUGAUUUCUCACAUAAAUCCAAGCUUUGUCUUUGAUCUUAUCUUGAAUAGUGCUUUUCUUGGAUAGAGUUUGUUGGAGAAUCUUAUCUUUGUAUAAAUUCAAACUUGAAUAGUGUUUUGUCCCAUUGAAAUAUUAUACCUUGAAUAAAGUGUCAAAAGAUAAUAAUAAUAAUAUUCAAGGUAAAAAUGCAAUUAUUCCAAAUAAUAAUAUUCAAGGUGAAAAUACAAUUCUCCCAAUUUGACUUUUAACUUUGACUUAAACCCUUAACUCAAAUGAUUAAUUAAUUAACUGGAGUUAGGUUUAAUAUCGAUUGACUUAUUUACCCCUUUUGAUUAAUAGUGUAAUUAGGGUUUAAAUUGACAUGAUUAAAAUAUAAUCAUAUAUCGACAAUUUUGAUUCUAUCUACACUUCCCAUACUGAUUUCUUAGACAAAAUCUCUAUCACUAGUGAACCAUCCUCUUACAAACAAACCAUACUUGAUCCCCAAUGGAUCAAAGCAAUGAAUGAAGAGCUAUCGGAAUUAAACAAAACUUGGGAAAUUGUCCCAAGACCCAAUGAUAGAAAAAUAAUUGGAUCUAGAUGGGUAUAUAAAAUCAAGUAUAAAUCCAAUGGUGACAUUGAAAAAAUAUUGGAUUGAAGCCAAUUUUGAUAUACAUUAUAAGACAAGUAUGAUAUGAUAAUUUAAAUUGCCUUGUGCUAAGAUCAUGCAAUGAAUAAUAAUCCAUGUGUGUGUUAUGGAUGAAGAUGAUCUUAUCAUGUAUGGAUUAAAGAUUUUAUAAUGUUAUAAUCCAUAAGAUAUUAGUGAAUGAUAUGUAUAAAUCCAUAAUAUUCACUAAUUGCUUUAAGAAGACAUUGAGCAUUUAAAAUUUUAAAAUCUAUGUCUUAGUGACAAAUAUAAUCAUGUAAAUAUUCACUAAGUUUUAAAAGAUUUAAAAUUUUCAUUUCAGUCCUUAAAGCCUUAGUAGUAAAACUUCACUUAAAAUAAAAUUUCAUUUAAGCCCUUUGAAGUUAUAAUAAAUACUUAGAUUAAUACUUGAAAUAUUUCAUGUAAACCUUGGAAGUAUUAACCAAUUCUAAGCAUUGAAAACUUCAUGUAAAUAUUAAUUUUAAGUCCUUGAAGUUUUAACUAAAUAUUUAUUCACUGUAAAGAUAUCAUCUUGACCCUUAAGGUUUAGUGAAUCUAUUAGAACUUAAAAACUUCAUAAACGAUUUACGUUUAAGUCCUUGAAGUUUCACAAAACUUUAUAUUCACUGAACAAUAUAACUUUAAUCCUUAAGCUUCCAGUGAAUUAUUUUAAACUUAGAAACUUCAAACAUAAUUUAUGUUUAAGCCCUUGAAGCUUCUAGUUUAUUCAUACAACUUAGUGAGAAAUUGAUUUUUCAUUGAAGUUUUUUUUCACUAACAAUAAAGCAAGCUUAGGUCUAUGGUUAGACCUUAAACAAAACAGACUUAAACAAAGUAGAAACAUCUAUUUAACAGAUGUUGUACCAUCGAUCAAACGAAAAAGGAACAUCUAAAUCAGAUAGCAUCGAGUAGGCAUAGCAAGCUAAUCACAACCAUGGUUGAUGGUGUUAGCUUCCUCAGUGGGAACUUUUAACAUCUCGAUUUGAUAUUGCAAGUCUGCGAUCAGAGCUCCUUGGUUUUUAAUACUUGAUUCCAGCACUUUAAUCCUUGAUUUUGCCUCAUCGAUCUCUUUAAACAGGUGAGUAGUUAUCUCAGAUUGACUUACUUGCUUCUUCCCUGUGAUGAGAUCCAUCACCUUUUUCCAGUCUGGAUCAUAAGAAUCCAUUUUGAAGAUGAUAGGAAUGGGUGAGAAAGGAAGGUUUUGGUUUGAGAGUGAACAACCUAGUAUUUAUAGAUGAAGCUUUUAGGUUUCCAAGAAUUUCUUGUUUUUGGUUUGACUAAGCCAUGAAAAAUCGUUUUAUCUUGUAGUCUCCUUCUCAAAAGAGGGUUCUUUAAUUUCCCAUGUACUGACAUGACUUGUUAGAUUUAACAAGUAAUGAGAUUUUGAAACUAUCAUCUAAGAGCUAGCUAGGAUCUUAGCAAGGCUUGUAUUUUAGUGGCUUGUAACCAGAAUAAUAUUUAAUUUAAAACAUACCUUUUGGUGGUCUUCAAUGCAUUCUUUGCACUAUGCACGAUAGUCCAUGCUCCUAGUUGUCGUGAGUGACUAGUUAUGACAGGUUUGCUAGAUGAAGUUGCAGCAUCGAUGUUGUAGAAUGUGCAGAAGACGAUUCUCAAUGCCAUGAGGUAAGGUUUGGAUUACCAAUACCAUGUGAUGUUGAUUUUGCUCAAUAUAUUAUAUUCAAGAUAUGACAUAAUGCAGUAUGGUGCAACAUAAUAUUAAUUUCAUAAUUUUUCCAUACAUGUAAGUGAUGACAUGUCAUAUGCAUGAGUCAAUUUAAACAGUAGUAAAGACAUGACAUAUUUUGGCAUAAUCAUUUCAUAAAAUUAUAAUUUUCAUUGUAUACACAUCGUUUGUUCACUUGUAGAUCAUGUAUGUGAAUGAUAAGCAUGUCCAUGUAAACAACUAUUUAUAGUAGCAUGCAAUGUAUUAACAGCGUUCAAUUGUAAGCAUGCAUCUAAUUUAUAGUAACAUGGCAUAUACGAUAGUCAUGCAUUCAAGUUAAGCUCUUCACGUUAUGCAUGCAAAUGAUGAAUUAUAUGUAUAUACUUAGUCAUGUAAAUCUUAGAUUUGUAAAUUCAUGCAUACGUAUAUUCAUUAUGAUCAAAGUUAUAAGUAUAACGAUAUUCAAGUGAAGAAUAAAACCUGAGAUGCAUUAACUCAUAACUAAUCAAAUUUCACUAAGCUCACAUAUACCCAUAGAUCUUCUGAUUUUUGAAUGAACUUCUUGAUCUAAAGGUUUAGUGAAGAUGUCAGCCAUUUGAUCUUCAGUAGAAAUAUAUUCUAGGCAUAUAUUUUUCUUUUCUACAUGAUCUCUAAGGAAAUGAUGUCUGACAUCAAUGUGUUUAGAUCUUGAAUGUAACACAGAGUUUUUUGAUAAACAAAUUGCACUCUUGUUGUCACAUUUAAGAGCUACUGUUUCUAAAGCUAUAUCGUAGUCGGAUAAUGUUUGUUUCAUCCACAAAAUUUGAGUGCAUGCAUUAGAUGCUGCCAUAUAUUCUGCUUCAGUUGUGGAUAAAGCAAUACUAUUUUGCUUUUUACAUGACCAUGCUACGAGUGAGCUUCCCAACAGAAAGCAUGUUCCACUAGUGCUUUUUCUGUCAGUCUUGCAUCCACCAAAGUCAGCAUCACAGUAUGCUGUUAGUGUGAAUGAGUUGUCCUUAGGGUAGAAUAAUCCAAGUGUAAUUGUUCCUUUGAUAUACCUGAUUAUUCUUUUAACCGCAUUGAGAUGUGACUCUUUUGGGUCUGAUUGGAAUCUAGCACAUAAGCAGACUGCAAACAUGAUGUCUGGUCUGCUGGCUGUUAGGUAUAGCAGUGAUCCAAUCAUUCCUCUGUAUUUCUUAAUGUCUACUGAUUGACCUUCAACAUCUUUGUCCAAUUUAAGAGUUGAACUCAUCGGAGUUGGCAUAGAUUUAGAUUCAGUCAAGUCAAAUUUCUUUAUUAAUUCCUUAGCAUAUUUGACUUGACUUAGGAAUAUUCCAUUCUCCUUCUGUUUGACUUGUAGACCUAAGAAAAAAGUCAACUCUCCCAUCAUACUCAUUUCAAAUUCGUCUUCCAUUUGUUUGGAAAAUUUCUUACAUAGAGUAUCAUCGGUUGAUCCAAAUAUAAUGUCAUCAACAUAGAUUUGAAUUAGAAUAAUGUCACUUUUGACAUUUUUAAUGAACAAUGUAUUAUCUAUACUCCCCAUUCUAAAUUCCUGAGAAGUGAGAAAGUUUCUUAGUCUUUCAUACCAAGCUCGGGGUGCUUGUUUCAGGCCAUAGAGGGCUUUCUUAAGUUUAAGGACGUGAUCAGGGUUUUUGUAAUCUUCGAAACCAGGGGGUUGUCUAACAUAUACUUGUUCAUUGACUAUUCCAUUCAAGAAUGCACUCUUUACAUCCAUUUGAUAUAAUUUGAAAUCUUUGUAGCAUUCAAAGGAUAGGAGCAUUCCGAUAGACUCUAGUCUAGCUACUGGUGCAAAGGUUUCAUCAUAAUCAAUUCCUUCUUGUUGAUUGUAUCCUUGCACAACCAGUCUAGCUUUGUUUCUGACUAUAGUUCCAUCUUCAUCCAGCUUGUUUCUGAAUACCCAUCUUGUCCCAAUGAUUGAUGUAUCUUUUGGUUUUGGAACUAGUUCUAUACAUCAUUUCUCUCAAAUUGGUUGAGUUCUUCUUGCAUAGCUUGAAUCCAGUAGUUGUCGUCGAGGGCUUCAUCAACUUUCUUGGGCUCAAUUUGAGAGACAAAACAGUCAAGAACACUGUUUCCUUGAAUGGAUGAUCUGGUUUUAACACCAGCUUGAUGGUCACCAAUGAUUUGAUCAGUGGAAUGUGGGUUCCUGAGCAACCUAUUGGAUGGAAGCUCAAAGACUUCGAUUUCGACAUUGGUAGUUUCUUCAGUUGGAAUGAUGAUUUCUGGUUCUGGAACUAUUUCAUCUUCUUCUACAAUGGUUGUCUGAGUGGAUUCAUCAAAGUCAAUGUGUAAUGAUUCGAUCAUUAUUUGUUUUUCUUUGAGAAGAAUUUUGUAGGCUUUGCUCCUUCUAGAGUAUCCUACCAGGAUACCUUCAUCAGAUUUCUGAGCAAAUUUGUCUUGGUUGCCUCUUGUUCGGAGAACAUAACAUUUGCAUCCAAAGACCUUGAAGUGUGAGACUUUUGGCUUUCUUCCAUUCUAGAUCUCAUAUGGAGUUUUGUUCAAGGUUUUUCUAAUAAUCACCUUGUUUAAUAUAUAACAGGCUGUGUUAACAGCUUCUGCCCAGAGAUACUGUGGUGAAUCAUGUUCUUGUAACAUGGAUCUACUCAUCUCUUGUAGAGUUCUGUUUUUCCUUUCAACAACUCCAUUCUGAGGGGGUGCUUGGGGAAAAGCAAAUUCAUGUUUUAUUCCAUAAGUUUUGCAAAAUUCUUCAAACUCAGAGUUUUUGAAUUCUCCUCCAUAAUCACUUCUGAUUCUUUUUAUGAGAACAUCCUUCUCAUUUUGUACACGUGUACAAAAUGAUGAGAACUCGUUGAAUAAGUCACUUUUAUUUCGUAAGAAGAAAACCCAAGUAAAUCUUGAGUAAUCAUCUACUAUUACAUACGUAAACCUUUUACCGCCAAGACUUUGGGUUUGGGUUGGCCCAAAUAAGUCCAUGUGUAGAAGUUCCAAAGGUCUGGACAUAGUAAUAUCUGUAAGGGAUUUGAAUGAGCUUUUAUACUGUUUCCCUUUUUGACAAGCAUCACAGAGAUUACUUUUCUCAUAUGCUAUUUUAGGCAGUCCAGUCACCAGUUCUUCUUUUGAUAGUUUGGAUAAUCGAGAAUAACUGGUGUGACCUAACCUUCUAUGCCAUAAAGUCUUUUCAUCACUUGCUGCGAUCAUGCAGAAGUCAUAAGUUAGCUUGGAGGGAUUAAAGGUUAUGGAAUAAGCAUUGUUUUUCCUAUAUCCUUUAGCAAUUAUAACUCCCUUGGAGUUAAUGAUUAAGCAUAGAUGUUUUUCAAAUUUAACUGUGCAAUCAUUAUCACAUAAUUGACUUAUGCUGAUAAAAUUAUGUUUAAGUCCAUUAACUAAGUAAACAUUUCUAAGAAAUGGUCUAUCUAUAUUACCUAUAAUACCCCUACCUACAAUGGUACCUUCGUUGUUAUCGGCGAACUUGACCUUCUUAGUAGUAGGCCAGUCAGUCAAGUCUGUCAGCAGACUUGAAUCUCCAAUCAUGUGCCUUAUGCAUCCACUGUCGAACAACCAUUUUGACAUAUGUUUUUCCUAAAAGAGUUGAAUAACCUUUUGGUACCCAUACUGAGUUGGGUCCAGAUGAAUUAACAUAGUUGAUUUGCUUAUAAUUUUUUAACUCAUCCUUGGUCAUCCAUUUUUGUUUUGGAUGAUUCAUCUUAGAUAGAUCUUUCUUUUUCUUAAGAUGAAUAGGUUUUCUGUAGCUAGAUUCUCUUACAAAAUAAUCAUUAUAAGUUAAAGCAUGUAAAGGUUUUUUAAUAGGUGCACUUGAUUCAAACCCUAAGCCAAAUUUCUUUUGACCUGAGCUUGAACCUUGCAAUAUGUCAUUUAGCUUAGAUGAACUAUUUGAGAAUUUUUCAAGAAUAUUAUUCUUCUGACCUAUUCUUUUGAUUUGUAAUUGCAUAUCAUUACAUUUUUCAGAUAAUUUUUGUAUGGUUUCUACAUGCUCAAGUAUGAUUUUGUCCUUAGAUUCUAUUUCUGUUUUGAGCAUGAUUGUUUCGUUUUCUUUUAACAUAAUAUCAUCUUCAAAAUUAUCUAUUUUUAAUUCUAGCAAUUCAAUCUUAUCAUCAUCCAUUUCCUUAGAUUGAUUUUCUUCAGAUUCUAAAAUGUUAAGCAAUUCAAAGUUUUGACUCUUAAGUAUCUUAAUUUUUUCUUCAUCUUUGUUUAAUUUACUUGUGAGUUUUAGAUUUCUUUCUUUCAAUUGCAUGCAUUCUUUUUGUGAUUCUUCUAAUUCAAUUGAUUGAUUUAUAUGUGAUUUAUUCAUGCAUUAUAGUUUUAAUGACUUAGUUAAUUUUUUCUUAUUUUUAUAUUUUUCCAUUAAUUCUAGAUAUGCUUCUUCUAAAGAAUUAAAUCUAGUAUUUGCAAAACUUACCUCAGAGUUGCUUUCAUGAGCCAUGAGACAAUCUUCUUGAUCCGAGUCGGAGUCUGUCCAUUGUGCCUGAUUUGCUCUUUCUUUCUUUAGCAGAGGACAUUCUGGUUUGAUGUGUCCCGACUUGUCGCAUAGAUAACAGAUUGGUUCUUUUGACUCCUUGCUCAUUCUUCUGUCGAACUUCUGAUGACUUGACCUUGAGUCUUUCUUCUCUUUCCUCUUUUUCAGAUAUCUUCUCAGAUGAUUGGUGAUCAUUGCUAGAUCAUCUUCUGAUGUUUCAUUGUCAGAUUGACUUUUAAGAGCAAUAUCCUUUUUCUCUUCUUUACCUCUAGAGAUGAAUCUUUCUUCUUCAUAGGCCAUCAGAUUUCCACAGAGUUCCACAACUGUAAGUUUGUUGAGAUCAUGAGCCUCUUGGAUAGCAUUCCUUGUGGAGUAGUACUUGUUUGGAAGGCUCCUCAGAAUUUUGCUUACUUGCUUAUUCUCAGUUAUUGGAUCUCCUAGUCCAGCCAGAUCAUUAACUAUUUGUGAUAGUCUAAUGUUCAUCUCUGCGAUAGUCUCGUCUUCCUUCAUAGAGAAUCUUUCGAACUGAGAGGUAGCAUGUAACAGCUUGUUUUUUUUAACAUGGGAGGUUCCUUCAUGUAGAUCCUCCAAUGCUUUCCAUACCUUGUGAGCUGUAUCCAAGCAUCGAAUUCUGUUGUACUCAGAUUCAUUGAGUGCUCCAUAUAGAGCAUUCAAUGCUCUUGAGUUGUUGUUUUCCUUGAGGAUGUCCAUUUCUCCCCAAGUCUCUUCAUUGCUUGUUGGAAUUUCAUAAUCCUCUAAUAUGAUCUUCCAUACUCCAUUGUUGAUUGACUUUAAGUAUAACUUCAUCUUGUUCUUCCAGAAGUCAUACUUUACUCCAUCGAACCUGGGAGGUUUGUUUGACACAAGACCAGUGUUGAAUUCACCAUUUGGUGCCAUAGUUGUUGUUGUAAGAUGUUAGUCAAACUUCAACGGUACUUGGCUCUGAUACCACUUGUUGGAUCGAGAUCCGAGGCUAUAAGGGGGGAUAAUAGCCUCUUUUCGAUUUAUGCAAGUUAAUAGCGAAAUUACCUACACACACUUAAGUACACAAAUAGUUGUAUAAUAAUAAUAGUAUAAUAUUGUUAGCAAUACAAUACUAUUAUAUAAUUUUAAAGAAUAUAAUAUUAUAUCUUAUAAUAUUAUAUAUUGGACUUGCCUUUUGCUCUUGAAGUUUACUACAGUAUAUGAAUACGUAGUCAACUUUUCAGAUGGUGUUUUAUAAACAACUAUAGUAUAUGAAUACUAAGUUAUAUUAUAAACACAAGUUAUAUUAUAGAGUAAAUGACUAGAUAACUGGAUAUAUUGAUAAGCAAGUAAAUGACCAGAUAACUGGAUAUAUUGAUAACCAAAUAAAUGACCAGAUAACUGGAUAUAUAUAUGAUAAGUAAAUGCUUGAACAAAUAUAUGAAUAAAGAUUUAAAGCAAAGAAUAUAACCUCAGAUAGUUGACCAGAUAACUGGAUGAGGGAUCUGCGUAAAGUAGUCAACCUCUGUAUUUGACCAGAUAACUGGAAGAGGGAUCCUUUUCAAUUAAGUGUUGUUUAGUUGUUUUUAGAUGAAAGAUAAAAACUAGAGUUAACAAAAAACAAUACAAGAGAUUUAUACCGGUUCACCCAAACAAGGGCUAGUCCAGUCCCGACCAACUGUCGGAAUUCACUCGCCUAAAGGUUAUGGCAAAACCUUAGAGUAUCAAGGAAACUCUUAAGAACUUCUCUAAGCUUUAAGGCUACUUCGCUUAGGAACCAGUCUUUUACGGGUAGACUCACACCUUAGAGUAUCAAGGGCACUCUUAAGAACCUCUAACUUUUGCGGGUAAGUUAGUACCUUAGAGUAUCAAGGAACUCUUAAAAAUCUCUCUAAGCUUUAAGGCUACUUCGCUUAGGAACCAGUCUUUUACGGGUAGACUCACACCUUAGAGUAUCAAGGGCACUCUUAAGAACCUCUAACUUUUACGGGUAAGUUAGUACCUUAGAGUAUCAAGGAACUCUUAAAAACCUCUGAAAUCUUUCAAGGUAGACUCGACCUAAGAGUUUUCCCGGAAACUCUAUAAAACCAAACUAGAGCUUUAUGGUUGAGCUCAAAAACCUUCUCUCACACUUUGGUACUAUUGAAACAACCCUCUCAACCAAAGUGGACACACACAAGAGAGGAGAUUAGAGGAGUGGAAUAUUAAAGCAAACAACACUUCUUACUUGUAAAGAUGAACAAGAAGAUUAGAAGAAGAAGUUGGAGAGCUUUUGAAGCUUUGGAAAGCUAUGACACUUGAGCACUUGAAAGCUUGGAAGCUUGGAGGCAAAAACGUGUGGGCAAGUGUGGAGUGAAAGCUCUUGAGUUUGCUUGUAGUGUGGUGAGUGAAAAUGAGGGGAUUACCCUUCUAUUUAUAGCCUUGGCCACUCAAUGUCCACCCUUGGAUCUUCAAUGGAUGGCUCUUUGAUUUCUCACAUAAAUCCAAGCUUUGUCUUUGAUCUUAUCUUGAAUAGUGCUUUUCUUGGAUAGAGUUUGUUGGAGAAUCUUAUCUUUGUAUAAAUUCAAAC